AUCUUGCUUGUCAGGUGUAUGUUCAGAUUCUCUCCAGGCAUCAUGAGACAACCCAAAUUAUUAUUGCUACUAUCAUGGAGAAUUACAUGAAUUCACAAUC
This is a long non-coding RNA of Thalassophryne amazonica, 100 nucleotides long. RefSeq lists it as uncharacterized. Lineage: Eukaryota; Metazoa; Chordata; Actinopteri; Batrachoidiformes; Batrachoididae. The transcript is spliced from 3 exons. The record is from RefSeq and is a predicted model, not a curated record.